AGUGAACGCUGGCGGUAGGCCUAACACAUGCAAGUCGAACGGCAGCACAGUAAGAGCUUGCUCUUACGGGUGGCGAGUGGCGGACGGGUGAGGAAUACAUCGGAAUCUACUUUUUCGUGGGGGAUAACGUAGGGGAACUUACGCUAAUACCGCAUACGACCUACGGGUCAAAGCAGGGGAUCUUCGGACCUUGCGCGAUUGAAUGAGCCGAUGUCGGAUUAGCUAGUUGGCGGGGUAAAGGCCCACCAAGGCGACGAUCCGUAGCUGGUCUGAGAGGAUGAUCAGCCACACUGGAACUGAGACACGGUCCAGACUCCUACGGGAGGCAGCAGUGGGGAAUAUUGGACAAUGGGCGCAAGCCUGAUCCAGCCAUACCGCGUGGGUGAAGAAGGCCUUCGGGUUGUAAAGCCCUUUUGUUGGGAAAGAAAAGCAGCAGGUUAAUACCCCGCUGUUCUGACGGUACCCAAAGAAUAAGCACCGGCUAACUUCGUG
RNAcentral lists this ribosomal RNA (492 nucleotides) under uncultured bacterium. RNAcentral describes it as "partial 16S ribosomal RNA". It matches the Rfam family "Bacterial small subunit ribosomal RNA", at positions 29 to 507 of the family's 1533-position model. The record is from RNAcentral.